ACCGCGGCGAGCUGCUGCUGCCAGGUGAGCUGGGCCUGCAGCGGAUGCGGGACAAGUCAGACUCCGAGGGCUCGCAGCUGGUCUUCUCUCCGGACAUCCGGCACGCCGUCAGCAAGACGUUGCCCUGCCGCAAGAAGUCAGAAUUCCUGGACCCCAAGACGCGGCAGCGGUACCGUGCGUGGGCGGCGUUCCAGGUGCUGGUGCAGCCGGGGACGUACAAGGUGUCGGCUGCGCGGGCGCCGGCCCAGGCGGAG
Molecule: long non-coding RNA, 254 nt
Organism: Schistocerca nitens (vagrant locust)
Lineage: Eukaryota; Metazoa; Arthropoda; Insecta; Orthoptera; Acrididae
Exons: 3
Source: RefSeq, a predicted model, not a curated record